UACAGAGGGUGCGAGCGUUGUCCGGAAUCACUGGGCGUAAAGGGCGCGUAGGUGGCGACCCAAGUCGAUGGUGAAAGCUCGCCGCUUAACGGCGAGUCGGCCACCGAUACUGGGUUGCUCGAGCACUGUAGAGGCAGAUGGAAUUCCGGGUGUAGCGGUGGAAUGCGUAGAGAUCCGGAAGAACACCGGUGGCGAAGGCGGUCUGCUGGGCAGUUGCUGACACUGAGGCGCGACAGCGUGGGGAGCAAACAGG
This 253-nucleotide ribosomal RNA is filed under the name uncultured bacterium. Its description in RNAcentral is "partial 16S ribosomal RNA". It matches the Rfam family "Bacterial small subunit ribosomal RNA", at positions 524 to 776 of the family's 1533-position model. The record is from RNAcentral.